ACAGCUCAAAUUUGAAAUCUGGCCCCCAGGCCCGAGUUGUAAUUUGUAGAGGAUACUUUUGGUGAGGUACCUUCCGAGUUCCCUGGAACGGGACGCCAUAGAGGGUGAGAGCCCCGUCUGGUUGGAUACCGAUCCUCUGUAAAGCUCCUUCGACGAGUCGAGUAGUUUGGGAAUGCUGCUCUAAAUGGGAGGUAUAUGUCUUCUAAAGCUAAAUAUUGGCCAGAGACCGAUA
Molecule: ribosomal RNA, 232 nt
Filed under: Neonectria sp.
Lineage: Eukaryota; Fungi; Ascomycota; Sordariomycetes; Hypocreales; Nectriaceae
Description: partial large subunit ribosomal RNA
Rfam family: Eukaryotic large subunit ribosomal RNA
Source: RNAcentral